CUCAUCUCCAUCACGCCGGCCUUCCUCAGCCAAGAGCUCCAGGUCUUUGCGGGUAACGACCGCGGAAAAGAUGGAGUUUUCGCUGGGGUUGGUGGCGUUGGGUUUCUCUGGUCUGCAGGUGGCAGUGUUGCGCCGUGAAGCCGCCCAGCCGCCCUCCUGCCCCGCCAUUCGUGCUUGAAAAAACUGCGCAGAGCCUUCUCCGCGGAGAGGGCGGCCUCCUUCUGCGUCUGCGCGGGCUGGGCCGCUCCCGGGCCGGCUGCUCCCUUCUGCGCGCUCCUUUCGGAAAAUUGCCUUCCGGGGGACAAGGCCCUUUUGCUUUUCCAGUUGGCCUUGGUCCUGCGGAGCUGCCUAGGUUCCUUAGCAUCUUGUAUUUCUGCUUCUCCGAAUCGUCUUGUCUUGGUCUCUUCUUGGGUUGUCCUGGGUUUGUGGACCUGGGUUUCAUAUAUGGUAAAAUAUAUUCUCUCAUUGUAGAAGUCACUCCCCCUGAGUAUAGAAAACCUGGAAGACAGAGAGAGUGUAAUGAAGACAGCUAAUCACCCACAAUCCCAUUCCCCAGCCAUGACCCUUAAGAAUAUUUUCUGAUAAGUUUCCUUAGCGGUUUUUCAUUCAUAAAGGUGAACUUCAAACAUGAGGAUCAUAUUGCAUCGUGAAUAUGUUAAGUGAAAUAAGCCAGACAGACAAAGAGGAAGUCUGUGUGACUCCACUCACAGGUGGAAGUUACCAUAUAGACAAAGAGAACUGAUUGGUGGUUACCAGGGGAAAGGGGGGGAGAGGCCACAAAGGGUGAAGGGGUGCACCUACAACACAACUAACAAUAAUGUACAACUGAAAUUUCACAGGGUUUUAAACGAUCAUAAUCUUAAUAAAAGGAAAAGAAAAAAGAAAACUUCCCACAAUGAAUCCCUGGUGCUGCCGUAACUUUACCGGUAAAACGUACCAAAUGCGGACAGAAGAAUUAGUAAGCAAACUUCACAAACGCUUUCAAAAAAUAGAAGUAGAGGGAACACUUCCAAACUCUGGGGCCAGUAUCGCCCUGAUACCAAAACCAGACAAAGACCUUACAGGCAAAGGAAAGCAAAUACUAAUACCGCUUACGAAAACAGACACAAAGAUCUUUAACCAAAGUGCGUCCAAUCACGUCGCCUUCGUCUGUCCGGGCUGCUGUGGCAGGAACCGCAGACUGAGCGGCUUAAACAACAAGCGUGCAUUUCUCACAGUUCCGGAGGCUGGGAAGUCCAAGAUCAAAGUGCCAGCAGAUUGGGCGUGUGUGGAGGGCCGCUGCCUGGUUCACAGGAGGUCGGCUUCUUGCUGUGUCCUCAGGUGAUGAAGGGAUGAGAGAGCUCUCUGGGGUCUCUUUGAUAAGGGCACUAAUCCUAGUCCUGAGGGCUCCACCUGCCCGCCCUCAUCACCUUCUGAAGGCCCCACCUCCUGAGACCAUCACACUGGGGAUCAGGAUUUCAACAUCUGGAUUUCCGGGGAGACACAGACAUUCAGGCUAUAGCACACGUCUCAUCAGAGCCAGCGUCCCUGUCCUGUUCAAACAGAGGAUCCAAGCUCCGACUGAGGAACAGGAGGGGAAAGAACAAACCGCUCCUCCAACCCACUGUGGAGGCCUUCUCUACUCAAUUCCUGA
This is a long non-coding RNA of Equus caballus (horse), 1633 nucleotides long. Lineage: Eukaryota; Metazoa; Chordata; Mammalia; Perissodactyla; Equidae. The record is from Ensembl.